GGAGGAUUCGACUAGCGGCCUAUGUCGCACGCUUGGAAAGCGUGUUGGGUGUCAAAGCCCUCACGGGUUCAAAUCCCGUAUCCUCCG
RNAcentral lists this transfer RNA (87 nucleotides) under Actinomycetota bacterium. Its description in RNAcentral is "tRNA-Ser". It matches the Rfam family "tRNA". From Rfam's summary of the family: Transfer RNA (tRNA) molecules are approximately 80 nucleotides in length. Their secondary structure includes four short double-helical elements and three loops (D, anti-codon, and T loops). The record is from RNAcentral. Lineage: Bacteria; Bacillati; Actinomycetota.